GCCCCUCCCCUGCUGUGUGCGCUUGUGCUCUCUCUCUCCCCCCUCCCACACACACACUCUCUCUCUCUCUCUCUCUCAAAACAAAUAAACUUAAAAAAAAUAAACACUCUUGUGCAAGGAGCAGAGGCCCCCCUCUCCAGAGUACGUCUAAGACAGAAACACCAACCGCACAGCAAACGGACUCAAACUAACCUGUUCCUGACGGUUAGCUGGAUCCGUGGAGUGAGGGGAGCAGGCAGGCCAGACCCCCAGACCGGUGCUCCUGGCAGAGAGGAGAGGCUGGCCGCACUCCCUCCUGGACUCGUACAGCUGCUCAGGGCCAGGCCCUGGCGGAGCUACCUGCGCUGGGGGGAGGGGGGGGGCAGACGGCAGUGAGCACAGCCACCGCCCAUCCGGAGGCGGCUUGGCGUGGUGUGCCACGGGCCCUAGUGGGGGCUGCCCUGCCGGCUGCCUGGGAGGGUGCCGGCGGCUGGGGCCUCUGCCGGGUGGCUCCGGGGGCCGGAGCGGUGCAGGCCUGGCUGCGCGAGGCCGUGCUGGGGUGCAGUGGGGGCAGGGCAGGCCGCCGUGUAGACACGGGUGGAGGGAGGAGCACGUGGGCUGGCGUGUUUGUUUCCUCUGUCCUGACGACGCGCGGCCUUAGCCCGUCGGAGGGCUCGGGCCUUAGGGACCGUGAUGAGCCCAGCCCCACGGUGCAGGGGGGAGAUGGGAGAGCGCCCGGACCCCCUGGCCCGGCCCCACCCAGCGAGUGGUCCACUGCCUGCUCCCCAGGAGCACCCGAGGCCCCGGCCCGCUGGGGUGCCCACCACCCGAAGAUCCACCUCCCCGCGACUUGCCCCACAGAGAAGGGGACGCUCCGAUCAACAAGGAAGUAGCCCCAUCUCUCCACGGGCAACCGGGGGCCGGUGACACACGCAGGCUGCAGAGGCCGGCCGAGGGUAUCAGGAGGACGGGCCUAACUGAGAAGGAAGAGAAACGGUUUUCUGGGGCCACGGGUCCGGUUCCGCACUUGUGGGCGCGCACCGCAGGGAGGUGACUUCACUACAGGACGCGGAAGCCACGCUGGUCCACGCGAGGCUGCUGGUUCUUCAGGGUCUGGAAGAAAGUUCCCGGCAGCUCGAGUGGCAGCUCCCGCCGAGCCUCGGUCUGGUCCGCUCCUCCCUCUCCCUCUGACGAUACCGCCGUUCGUACCACGACCCCGAGCGAGAAGUCACUUGGUUUUUGCUGACUUCGGUCUCCGUAGGGAGUGACACAGCCGGUGUCCUGACUUGCUCCUGGGGGCCGUCGUUACCCAUGAGGCUGAACGGUGCGUGCCCCCCGGGCCCUUGGUGUUUUCCUCGUUGACGGCUCGGCGUCCUUGACGUCAUCUGAACGUGAGCGCUUCGUCCCGGCCCCACGCCUGGUCUCUGCAGCCUGCGUGUGUCCCGAUGAGUGCGCGUUCUUCAGUUCACGGCUGCCCAAUGUACCAGCCUCUGCCUUGACGCUUUCUGCCUUUUCUGGCUUGUUUCGGAAAGCCCUGCUCCCCUAGGGACCUAGGUGCUUGCUCCUGUACGUCUUCUACCCAGCAUUUCUGCCCGGACGCCACACUCUUUUCUUAAUCCACGGCCGAUAUUCCCGAGACGUCCACCGAGAAGGCCCUCUGCGGCGUCCCUGCGUGUCGGAUCACGCGUCUGUCCUCGCUCCCCGCCCGCCCCUUGUCGGCCGGUCUGUCCUGCACCAGCGCCUCCGUCUCGGCUCCGACGGGGACAGCUCCCCACCCGCUCCGUCUGGCUGUCCUGUGCCGCGAGCGUCCCCGCGAAUUUGCAGCAGCUCGCCGCGUCCUGCAGCAAAACCGGAUGGGCGCUGACCGGUCCUUGCGGGCACCGUCUUCGCCAGCCGCCCGGGCUCACGCUCCGUCAGCGCGGUGGUGCCGAGAAGCUAGAGCCUUAUCGGCGUCUCCACGAAGUUCGCACCUGUUGUUAGAUUUGUACAGGUCUUCACGUGUUUGUUCUGGGACACAGAGAUGUAGCCGAUCCUGUACAUCGUAUUUGCAUCCAACAUACUUGCUACGUGCUAUUUCCUCUGGUAACGUGUGCACAAUGCUUCCGGGUUUUCCACCUUA
Molecule: long non-coding RNA, 2098 nt
Organism: Felis catus (domestic cat)
Lineage: Eukaryota; Metazoa; Chordata; Mammalia; Carnivora; Felidae
Exons: 2
Source: RefSeq, a predicted model, not a curated record